This 484-nucleotide ribosomal RNA is filed under the name uncultured bacterium. RNAcentral's name for it is "partial 16S ribosomal RNA". It matches the Rfam family "Bacterial small subunit ribosomal RNA", at positions 30 to 507 of the family's 1533-position model. The record is from RNAcentral.
AUUGAACGCUGGCGGCAGGCCUAACACAUGCAAGUCGAGCGGAUGAAGGGAGCUUGCUCCUGGAUUCAGCGGCGGACGGGUGAGUAAUGCCUAGGAAUCUGCCUUGUAGUGGGGGAUAACGUCCGGAAACGGGCGCUAAUACCGCAUACGUCUUGAGGGAGAAAGUGGGGGAUCUUCGGACCUCACGCUAUCAGAUGAGCCUAGGUCGGAUUAGCUAGUUGGUGGGGUAAAGGCCUACCAAGGCGACGAUCCGUAACUGGUCUGAGAGGAUGAUCAGUCACACUGGAACUGAGACACGGUCCAGACUCCUACGGGAGGCAGCAGUGGGGAAUAUUGGACAAUGGGCGAAAGCCUGAUCCAGCCAUGCCGCGUGUGUGAAGAAGGUCUUCGGAUUGUAAAGCACUUUAAGUUGGGAGGAAGGACAGUAAGUUAAUACCUUGCUGUUUUGACGUUACCAACAGAAUAAGCACCGGCUAACUUCGUG